GCGGCUACCAUGCGAGUCGAACGGCAGCACGAGAGAGCUUGCUCUCUUGGUGGCGAGUGGCGGACGGGUGAGGAAUACAUCGGAAUCUACCUUUUGGUGGGGGAUAACGUAGGGAAACUUACGCUAAUACCGCAUACGCCCUUCGGGGGAAAGCCGGGGACCUUCGGGCCUGGCGCUGAUAGAUGAGCCGAUGUCGGAUUAGCUAGUUGGUGAGGUAAUGGCUCACCAAGGCGACGAUCCGUAGCUGGUCUGAGAGGAUGAUCAGCCACACUGGAACUGAGACACGGUCCAGACUCCUACGGGAGGCAGCAGUGGGGAAUAUUGGACAAUGGGCGCAAGCCUGAUCCAGCCAUACCGCGUGGGUGAAGAAGGCCUUCGGGUUGUAAAGCCCUUUUGUUGGGAAAGAAAAGCGAUCGGUUAAUACCCGGUUGUUCUGACGGUACCCAAAGAAUAAGCACCGGCUAACUUCGUGCCAGCAGCCGCGGUAAUACGAAGGGUGCAAGCGUUACUCGGAAUUACUGGGCGUAAAGCGUGCGUAGGUGGUGGUUUAAGUCCGUUGUGAAAGCCCUGGGCUCAACCUGGGAAUUGCAGUGGAUACUGGGUCACUAGAGUGUGGUAGAGGAUAGUGGAAUUUCCGGUGUAGCAGUGAAAUGCGUAGAGAUCGGAAGGAACAUCUGUGGCGAAGGCGACUAUCU
This 695-nucleotide ribosomal RNA is filed under the name uncultured bacterium. RNAcentral's name for it is "bacterial SSU rRNA". It matches the Rfam family "Bacterial small subunit ribosomal RNA", at positions 46 to 730 of the family's 1533-position model. The record is from RNAcentral.